Xiphophorus hellerii (green swordtail) is the source of this 120-nucleotide long non-coding RNA. RefSeq lists it as uncharacterized. The record is from RefSeq and is a predicted model, not a curated record. The transcript is spliced from 3 exons. Lineage: Eukaryota; Metazoa; Chordata; Actinopteri; Cyprinodontiformes; Poeciliidae.
UGAAGAGAAGAUCCAAUAAAUGGCUUUUUCUGCUCAGUGAACUCACAACGUGUAAGUUGUUACUGAGGGAGGAAGCCUUAAAGUUAACUUUCUUCAGCAUCAGUGAGGAGCUUAAAAAAA